AACGGGUGAGUAACACGUGGGUGAUCUGCCCUGCACUUUGGGAUAAGCCUGGGAAACUGGGUCUAAUACCGAAUAGGACCACGCGCUUCAUGGUGUGUGGUGGAAAGCUUUUGCGGUGUGGGAUGGGCCCGCGGCCUAUCAGCUUGUUGGUGGGGUAAUGGCCUACCAAGGCGACGACGGGUAGCCGGCCUGAGAGGGUGACCGGCCACACUGGGACUGAGAUACGGCCCAGACUCCUACGGGAGGCAGCAGUGGGGAAUAUUGCACAAUGGGCGCAAGCCUGAUGCAGCGACGCCGCGUGAGGGAUGACGGCCUUCGGGUUGUAAACCCCUUUCAAUAGGGACGAAGCGCAAGUGACGGUACCUAUAGAAGAAGCACCGGCCAACUACGUGCCAGCAGCCGCGGUAAUACGUAGGGUGCGAGCGUUGUCCGGAAUUACUGGGCGUAAAGAGCUCGUAGGUGGUUUGUCGCGUUGUUCGUGAAAACUCACAGCUUAACUGUGGGCGUGCGGGCGAUACGGGCAGACUAGAGUACUGCAGGGGAGACUGGAAUUCCUGGUGUAGCGGUGGAAUGCGCAGAUAUCAGGAGGAACACCGGUGGCGAAGGCGGGUCUCUGGGCAGUAACUGACGCUGAGGAGCGAAAGCGUGGGGAGCGAACAGGAUUAGAUACCCUGGUAGUCCACGCCGUANACGGUGGGUACUAGGUGUGGGUUCCUUCCUUGGGAUCCGUGCCGUAGCUAACGCAUUAAGUACCCCGCCUGGGGAGUACGGCCGCAAGGCUAAAACUCAAAGGAAUUGACGGGGGCCCGCACAAGCGGCGGAGCAUGUGNNNUNAUU
This 837-nucleotide ribosomal RNA is filed under the name uncultured bacterium. RNAcentral's name for it is "bacterial SSU rRNA". It matches the Rfam family "Bacterial small subunit ribosomal RNA", at positions 101 to 951 of the family's 1533-position model. The record is from RNAcentral.